UCCCAAGUGCUAAAACCCUUUACUGAAGUUAACCAAGAAACAAGUUUAUGCUUAUAAAUACUUCAAGCUAAGUUUUUAUUUAUAACAUGCAAAGCAUGAAAAAUAUGGCUCAAAUAUUCACUCUAUUAGUUAUUCUUUCGCUAUUUUUUGUGGUAAUUGACGGAUAUGUGCAAUGCAAAACGGCUAGUGAUUGUCCAAUCAGUAUGUGUCGCUUUCCUGUAGUUCCAAAGUGCAUUAGAUAUAAAUGUGAAUGCGACUAUGUGAAUAAAUUCAUGUUCAAAUGAAAAAUAAUGAUAUAUGUUAUGAAUAAUAUGUAAUGAAUGUCCAUUAUUGUGUAGGUUUUCUUGUCCCCUAAUUGUGUCUUAUAAAUAAGACCCCUUUGUUAUAAUGUAAAGCACACUUGUGAAUAGAAUAAUAACAAUGGUCUAUUCCUUUCUCUUC
Molecule: long non-coding RNA, 441 nt
Organism: Trifolium pratense (red clover)
Lineage: Eukaryota; Viridiplantae; Streptophyta; Magnoliopsida; Fabales; Fabaceae
Exons: 2
Source: RefSeq, a predicted model, not a curated record